This 585-nucleotide ribosomal RNA is filed under the name Triticum aestivum (bread wheat). RNAcentral describes it as "partial small subunit ribosomal RNA". The record is from RNAcentral. Lineage: Eukaryota; Viridiplantae; Streptophyta; Magnoliopsida; Poales; Poaceae.
CAACAGAGCUUUCUUUUGGAGAAACACUAUUAUUAUGGGGCUGUACACGCGGUAGAAAAAUUACGCCAAUCUGUUGAGAUAUGGUGUGCGACAAGUGAAUAUUUGAAACAAGAAAUGAAUUCAAAUUUUCGUAUAACGGAACCUUCUAAUCUAGUCUAUCUAAUGUCUUUUUCAGGAGCCAGAGGAAAUGCAUCUCAAGUACACCAAUUAGUAGGUAUGAGAGGAUUAAUAUCGGACCCUCAAGGACAAAUGAUUGAUUUACCUAUUCAAAACAAUUUAUGCGAGGGACUUUCUUUGACAGAAUAUAUAAUUUCCUGCUAUGGAGCCCGCAAAGGGGUUGUAGAUACUGAUGUGCAAACAGCAUAUGCUGGAUAUCUUACAUGUAGGCUUGUUGAAGUAGUUAAACAUAUUAUUGUGCCUAGAAGAGAUUGUGGUACUAUCCGAGGUAUUUCUGUAAGUCCUCAAAAUGGGAUGAUGGAAAAACUUUUUGUCCAAACACUAAUUGGUCGUGUAUUGGCAGAUGAUAUAUAUAUAUCGGUUCACGAUGCAUUGCCGCGCGAAAUCAAGAUAUUGGAAUUGGAUUAG